RNAcentral lists this ribosomal RNA (352 nucleotides) under uncultured bacterium. RNAcentral describes it as "partial 16S ribosomal RNA". It matches the Rfam family "Bacterial small subunit ribosomal RNA", at positions 338 to 682 of the family's 1533-position model. The record is from RNAcentral.
CCUACGGGUGGCAGCAGUGGGGAAUGUUGCGCAAUGCUCGUAAGAGUGACGCAGCGACGCCGCGUGAAUGACGAAGGCCUUCGGGUCGUAAAGUUCUUUCGACAGGGAAGAAAAUGCAGAUAAGUAACUGUGUAUGUAUGGACGGUACCGGUAGAAGCAGCCCCGGCUAACUCCGUGCCAGCAGCCGCGGUAAUACGGAGGGGGCGAGCGUUGUGCGGAGUGACUGGGCGUAAAGAGCACGUAGGCGGUGUUGUAAGUCAUUAGUCAAAGACUCGAGCUCAACUUUAGUACGGCUAGUGAUACUCUCAUACUAGUGUAUCCGAGAGGCUUGCCGCAUUCCUGGUGUAGCGGU